This 117-nucleotide ribosomal RNA is filed under the name Anaerosinus gibii. The record is from RNAcentral. Lineage: Bacteria; Bacillati; Bacillota; Negativicutes; Selenomonadales; Sporomusaceae.
UCUAGUGAUGAUAGCUAUAGGGUACCACCUGUUCCCAUACCGAACACAGUAGUUAAGCCUAUAUACGCCGAAAGUACUUGGAUGGAAACGUCCUGGGAGGUUAGGUAGUUGCUAGUU